CGAGUGCCCAGCUCCAGGUGGGGAGCCAAACUCAGCCUGCGGCAAACUGCUAAGGAGCCAGGGUCACUUUGCUUCAAUGUGCCUUUUAUAGUGACUUAACAGAACUGAGAACAUGAGGCUUUUCAUCAGAAGGCUUUGGAAACUUGUCAUCUCUCUGGGUACCACGACCACCCCUCCGAUCUCCACUCCAGAAGUUCUCUCGGAACCUCAGCUCUCUAAAGCUCUUAAGGUUUUGACAAGUCGACCGCCCUUGCCUGAACAACUUCUGUCUCUGCAAAUACAAGGUCUAUUGGAAAUCUGGACUUGUCACUUUCAUCCCCCUGGGCAAUCAAAUGUACAAUCACAAGGAAUGCUUGCCAUUGCCAUUACUGUAACUCUGGGGACACAGAUGCCAUAUAACUCCGCUGAAUUCAAACAACAACAACAACAACAAUAAUAAUAAUAGUAAUAAUAAUAAAGGAAGAAGAAAAAGACAGACUCCUAUCUUAAGAAGCCACCAGGAUUUCCGGCGUGGCCUUGAGGAGCCCAGGACUGCUGAGCCACUAACAUCCCAGACAACUGGGUCUGAAAAGAAACAUCAUGUAUGUCAGCAUUAUCAGCAAAAGCAUUUUGACCGGCUCUGUUUUCAUAUUCCUCAACCCAGAUUCCUUUGAAAAUGAAAGUAAAAAUAAAGCGAUACUCCCCAUCAUUUCCUCCAGACCUUGGAGUCUGGAUUAGAGAAAAUCUGCUGACUUUGCUGACCUUCACAAGGGUGCCGUGGGGGCGAGGAGAGCGGAUGGUUGCAUCUGGGGCUGAGUGUGGAUCCUAAUAGCCCAGCCUUGCCUGCACUUUCGAUAUUUUCUUUCGAACUUGCCUUUUUGCGGCUGCAGCUGGGCUUGUCAGU
Felis catus (domestic cat) is the source of this 883-nucleotide long non-coding RNA. RefSeq lists it as uncharacterized. The transcript is spliced from 3 exons. NCBI's taxonomy places the organism in Eukaryota, Metazoa, Chordata, Mammalia, Carnivora, Felidae. The record is from RefSeq and is a predicted model, not a curated record.